GACGAAGCGUGCGAACGUUGUUCGGAAUCACUGGGCUUAAAGGGCGCGUAGGCGGGCUGUCAAGUCUGGGGUGAAAUCCCACGGCUCAACCGUGGAACUGCCUCGGAUACUGACGGCCUCGAGGGAGGUAGGGGCGUGCGGAACUGUGGGUGGAGCGGUGAAAUGCGUAGAUAUCGCGUGGAACGCCAAUGGUGAAAACAGCUUGCUGGGGGUGUGCUGACGCUGAGACACGAAAGCCAGGGGAGCAAACGGG
This 253-nucleotide ribosomal RNA is filed under the name uncultured bacterium. RNAcentral describes it as "partial 16S ribosomal RNA". It matches the Rfam family "Bacterial small subunit ribosomal RNA", at positions 524 to 776 of the family's 1533-position model. The record is from RNAcentral.